CCUACGGGUGGCAGCAGUGGGGAAUAUUGCACAAUGGGCGCAAGCCUGAUGCAGCCAUGCCGCGUGUAUGAAGAAGGCCUUCGGGUUGUAAAGUACUUUCAGCGGGGAGGAAGGGAGUAAAGUUAAUACCUUUGCUCAUUGACGUUACCCGCAGAAGAAGCACCGGCUAACCCCGUGCCAGCAGCCGCGGUAAUACGGAGGGUGCAAGCGUUAAUCGGAAUUACGGGGCGUAAGGCGCAUGCAGGCGGUUUGUUAAGUCCAAUGUGAAAUCCCCGGGACAAACCUGGGAACGGCAUCUGAUACUGGCAAGCGUGAGUCUCGUAGGGGGAGGUAGAAUUCCAGGUGUAGCGGUGAAAUUCGUAGAGAUCUGGAGGAAUACCGGUGGCGAAGGCGGCCCCUGGACGAAGACUGACGCUCAGGUGCGAAAGCGUGGGGAGCAAACAGGAUUAGAUACCCCAGUAGUC
RNAcentral lists this ribosomal RNA (464 nucleotides) under uncultured bacterium. RNAcentral's name for it is "partial 16S ribosomal RNA". It matches the Rfam family "Bacterial small subunit ribosomal RNA", at positions 338 to 795 of the family's 1533-position model. The record is from RNAcentral.